AUUGAACGCUGGCGGCAGGCCUAACACAUGCAAGUCGAGCGGAUGAAGGGAGCUUGCUCCUGGAUUCAGCGGCGGACGGGUGAGUAAUGCCUAGGAAUCUGCCUGGUAGUGUGGGAUAACGUCCGGAAACGGGCGCUAAUACCGCAUACGUCCUGAGGGAGAAAGUGGGGGAUCUUCGGACCUCACGCUAUCAGAUGAGCCUAGGUCGGAUUAGCUAGUUGGUGGGGUAAAGGCCUACCAAGGCGACGAUCCGUAACUGGUCUGAGAGGAUGAUCAGUCACACUGGAACUGAGACAGGGUCCAUACUCCUACGGUAGGCAGCAGUGGGGAAUAUUGGACAAUGGGCGAAAGCCUGAUCCAGCCAUGCCGCGUGUGUGAAGAAGGUCUUCGGAUUGUAAAGCACUUUAAGUUGUGAGGAAGGGCAGUAAGUUAAUACCUUGCUGUUUUGACGUUACCAACAGAAUAAGCACCGGCUAACUUCGUG
Molecule: ribosomal RNA, 484 nt
Filed under: uncultured bacterium
Lineage: Bacteria
Description: partial 16S ribosomal RNA
Rfam family: Bacterial small subunit ribosomal RNA
Source: RNAcentral